Molecule: ribosomal RNA, 112 nt
Filed under: Vagococcus fluvialis
Lineage: Bacteria; Bacillati; Bacillota; Bacilli; Lactobacillales; Enterococcaceae
Description: partial 16S ribosomal RNA
Rfam family: Bacterial small subunit ribosomal RNA
Source: RNAcentral
CUUUUAUUGAGAGUUUGAUCCUGGCUCAGGACGAACGCUGGCGGCGUGCCUAAUACAUGCAAGUCGAACGCUUUGAUUUUCACCGGAGCUUGCUCCACCGAAAAUCAAAGAG